CCUACGGGUGGCAGCAGUGAGGAAUAUUGGUCAAUGGACGAGAGUCUGAACCAGCCAAGUAGCGUGAAGGAUGACUGCCCUAUGGGUUGUAAACUUCUUUUAUAAAGGAAUAAAACGAGGCACGUGUGCCUUUUUGCAUGUACUUUAUGAAUAAGGAUCGGCUAACUCCGUGCCAGCAGCCGCGGUAAUACGGAGGAUCCGAGCGUUAUCCGGAUUUAUUGGGUUUAAAGGGAGCGUAGAUGGGUUGUUAAGUCAGUUGUGAAAGUUUGCGGCUGAACCGUAAAAUUGCAAUUGAUACUGGCAGUCUAGAGUACAGUUGAGGUAGGCGGAAUUCGUGGUGUAGCGGUGAAAUGCUGAGAUAUCACGAAGAACCCCGAUUGCGAAGGCAGCUUACUAAACUGUGACUGACAUUGAUGCUCGAAAGUGUGGGUAUCAAACAGGAUUAGAUACCCUUGUAGUC
Molecule: ribosomal RNA, 460 nt
Filed under: uncultured bacterium
Lineage: Bacteria
Description: partial 16S ribosomal RNA
Rfam family: Bacterial small subunit ribosomal RNA
Source: RNAcentral